UAUGCUAUACUGAAUAAGUUGCUCAGCAACCCUUGGUGCUUACUUCCCUUUCACCAAGCAUAUUAUAAACGGGACAACCGUCAAAGGAGAAAUAAUG
This 97-nucleotide non-coding RNA is filed under the name Streptococcus sp. RNAcentral's name for it is "PreQ1-II sequence". It matches the Rfam family "PreQ1-II (pre queuosine) riboswitch aptamer". Rfam says of the family: Q is a hyper modified nucleoside present in some anticodons in tRNAs (Try, Asn, Asp and His). Lineage: Bacteria; Bacillati; Bacillota; Bacilli; Lactobacillales; Streptococcaceae. The record is from RNAcentral.